RNAcentral lists this microRNA (22 nucleotides) under Anopheles gambiae (African malaria mosquito). Its description in RNAcentral is "aga-miR-10372a-5p". Lineage: Eukaryota; Metazoa; Arthropoda; Insecta; Diptera; Culicidae. The record is from miRBase by way of RNAcentral.
AUUGAAAUAGGAUACUAAAGCG